RNAcentral lists this small nuclear RNA (319 nucleotides) under Nannospalax galili (Upper Galilee mountains blind mole rat). RNAcentral's name for it is "7SK RNA (ENSNGAG00000004288.1)". It matches the Rfam family "7SK RNA". Rfam says of the family: 7SK was discovered as an abundant small nuclear RNA in the mid-70s but a possible function has only recently been suggested. The record is from Rfam by way of RNAcentral. Lineage: Eukaryota; Metazoa; Chordata; Mammalia; Rodentia; Spalacidae.
UGAUGUGAGGGCAAUCUGGCUGCAACAUCUGUCACCCCAUUGAUAGCCAGGGUUGAUUCAGCUGAUCUGGCUGGCUAGGUGGGUGUCCCUUUCCUCCCUUAAUACUCCAAGUGCAUCCCUCCCAAAGCUGUGCAAUGGGUUGAAGAGGACGACCUUCCCCGAUAGAGGAGGACUGGUCUUCGGUCAAGGGUAUAUGAGUAGCUGCACUCCCCUGCUAGAACUCCAAACAAGCUCUCAAGCAAAGUAUUUUUAAAACUUGUCGUGGUAACAGAAGAAUAUGAAGAACUAGGCAUGUGGCUCUAUCGUAGAAUGUUUGCCU